Molecule: RNA transcript, 7777 nt
Organism: Topomyia yanbarensis
Lineage: Eukaryota; Metazoa; Arthropoda; Insecta; Diptera; Culicidae
Gene: Cog7
Gene name: conserved oligomeric Golgi complex subunit 7
Exons: 6
Source: RefSeq, a predicted model, not a curated record
UUCGAUGUGUCAGAUUUUAGCUAAAAGUUAAAAAUUUCACCAAAUGGUUCACAGCCUCAAUAGGUUUUGUGUUUAGUCAAAAGGUUGUGUUUUUAUCGCGAGAUGCGAUAUCAUUCAGCACAGUUUAUUUUAGACGAGAAUAUAGUGUUGCUCGGCAAAACAAGCUUUAAAAAAUAUAUCUCCGCUUAAAAUUUUGUAACAUCUUAAGAAUGGAUCUCUGUUGCGUUUCGGAAAAUUCUUUCUACGUAAUAAAGUUCGUAAAUACCCAGUUGAAAAAAGACGGCAAUAAAGAAAAUAAGGAGAACAUUAUUGCAGCGCUAGUAUCAAGAUUGCAAAUAUAUGUUGAACAAAUCAACUCUUUGUUGGAACAAUCUAGUCUUCAGCAUGACUUAACUAUACCUUGCGGGAUUAAGGAAGUAAAAGUAUUGCAUACUCAGAUAAAUUUUUUUAUGCAAAAAUGUUGUCAACUUCAAAGAGAAAUUGUAUAUAUACAACAUGCGACACGCGCUUAUAUCUCUAAUUUGGAACAUCUGGAAUUAAAUUUUGAUAAGCUUCAAGUGGCAAAAUAUGGCAUGCAAGAAUCAGAUCGUUGGCAUAGAAUAAUUGCUGAGCUAGAUGAGUUACUUGGGCAAAAUGAUAUAGUUGAAUUAAAAGACAAGUUUUUAGCAUUGAAGAAAUCUCUUCUUGCACAAUCAAAAAUGCCAGGGCAAGCGGAACGAGAUUUGCAGUUUGAGUAUUUAACAAAUAGAAUAGAGGCCCUGGCAAAUCCCAUAGUCGUACAUUGUAUUCAAACAGCGGACACUGAUUGUCUAAUGCAACAUGUUGAAUUAUAUAAAACUAUCAGACGCGUAUCACACCUUAGACAGUGCUAUCGAUCUGUACAUACAAAUAUACUUUUGGACAAAUGGAAAAAUAUCACAAAACCUGGAGAUGGAAUCAAUUUUCUAUCCGAUUUCUAUGAAAUACUCUUACAUUUUGUCGAAAAUCAGCACAAAUUGUGCAAACAAACGUUUGCGGAUGUUUUGGAAUUAGUGGAUAUUGUGUCUGAAACUUUAAGUGCUAUUCAGAUCUCUAGACAAACAUUUACAAUGAACCUGCUGAAAACAACUUCCGAUAAGCUCGACCUGCUAGUUAGAGUUGCAGAAAAUAACGCGAAUUUUUUAUCGCGUAUUGAAAAGGUACUAAAAGACCAAAUAAUUCCAACUGAUAAACGCGAACGGCUGUCGGUAGGAAUUUUUUCGUAUUUCGAUACAUUUGUCGAUCUAUAUUCAGGAAUUGAAGAGACUUAUGUAGAUGGAAUGAUGAAGAGCAUCGAUGUUUCAGAUACCAACCUAGCUGACAAUAUACGCAAUUUGAAUUUUCACAGUACAAGGAUAGUAAAAUGGAUUGACGAUGCGCUUGAGCGCUGCAUUGUGAUUACACGAGGAAAAUCUAUUUAUGAUAUCGCGAAGAUUAUCGAAAAUGCAUUAAUGGCGUAUAAUGAAAAAAUGAGUAUAAUACAAAUGCGAAUAACACUUCAAAAACUACCAGAGCAAACAGACUGGAAUUUACUUCAGAUAAACAUAAACCUGUUAGAGCAUUUAGGCGAUUUAUUAAUCACUGUUCAACGAUGUGACUCGAACAUACAUUUUAUAAUAAAUACUAAUUCAGAUAGCUACUUUGAUGCAAUAGGUGCAUCGCGAAAAUCUGAUAAAGAUUGCGAAAGAAAAUCAAAGUUCACAAUUAAAAAUCACGAAAGUGCUUCCGUAACAUUGUUUUCUAACCAAUACAUUUCAUUGAAGAACGUUGCUAUAGAAAUUUACAAUAAUAUCGUUCUAAUGAUUGUUUCUCCCAUAGAAAAACAAAUUUUACAAAUGAAUUUUCUGCUCGAUAAGCAAUUUCAAGGAUUCAACCUGCCGGAUUAUAGCGUUGCUCCGCAAGAGUAUAUAACCCGAGUAGGGCAACAUUUGCUUACACUUCCUCAACAUCUAGAACCAUUGUUGCUGACACCAUCAGCUUCUUUGAAAUAUUUUUUGAAGGACUUUAACAGUACGUACGAAAGUGGAGACACAUGUGCUGAUGUUCUAUUAAGCAUUGUAGUGGAAAGAACAUGUAUAAUAUAUGUGAAAAUCAUAGAUGAUAUUCUAAGUUUAUCCGCUUCCGGAGCAAAACAACUGGCCAUUGAUAUCGAAUACUUUGGACAUGUGUUAGAGGAAUUAAGUCUGCAGUUGAAUAUCGAGUUGAAACAAAUAAUUACAUUAUUAAGGAUACCACCGGAACAAUAUAACACAGCAAGUUCGGUUUCUAAUAUAAGAUUAGUAACAUCUAUCAGACAGAAGCGAAACAUCGUAUCGUGUUAAUUGAUUUGUAAUUGAAAAUUUAAAAAAUAAACAAAAAAUGUAAAAAGGAAUUGAUGAACUACUAUCAACGAUAAAUCCAAACAUUUUUACAGGAAUUUCGUUUUCUUGUGCAUUUUUUCCGAAAAAAAAUUAAAAGGUUGUGUACAGGGCACGACCACGGUGACAUUAAAAAUGUAGUUUUUUUUCAAGAGCGGGCAAAUGAAUAUUAUCUAUCACAACUAUCGACUCACGUUCUAGCUCACUCUCCUGUUCCCAUAUGCUACAAUUUGCUAUACAUCCAUCUAGCUGGUCUGUUCAGAAAAUAUAUUCAAAAGGAAAGCUCCAUAUUGAGAACUGUGAUGAGGAAGCCCGCGCUCACAAACGGAAAUAUUAAGUUUCUCCACGAAAUAUGAAAUAGUUUGUGACCAACGUGUAUUUGUUCCUGCUGUCCAACAAUUCGCUCGUUCAAAGGCAACAAACGGAGGAUAGCGAAUCGCUACCGGAACCAACGCAAAUUCUGCUGAUCGAUCGUGUCAAUUGCGCUUAACAACGAAUCGCUAUACUCCGGGCUGAUCGUGGUCCGGCACAAGAUGCUAUACCGGAUCUACGCUUGCACGGGAAAUUGUAACAUACCGAAACCGAAUGAGGGGGAAGAUGCAUCAAACGGUGCGGUAUCGUCCCCACUGGGCUACCGACCAACGUGUAAUUGUUCCUGCUGUCUGAAAAGUCGACCGGACUCGCUCGAUCAAGUACCAAACGCGAUACUGAGUCGCUACCGGAAGCGACACCAAUUCCGCUGAAAUCUAUCGUUUGUGUGUUACCACGAACCGCUAUACUCCGCGCUGAUCGUGCUCCGGAACGAAAUGCUAUACCGGUUCUACGCUUGCAUGGGAAUUUUAAUCGUACCGAAAUGGUAAGAGUCAAUGUCCAUCUGCUUCCAGUGUGCGGCAAUGAGAUUUCAGCUCGCCGGAUACACCACGGCCGCAGCUGCUUGUAGCAGGUGAAUUUGCUCAACACCAUAUUACGUUUAAAAGCGACCCAGACCGCCCGAAAUGUCACCUGAUUUGCUCUCUGAACGCGUUGCUCAUCCAGAGUUGCUUAUUUUGGCUAUUCGCAACUAACCUACACUGGAUACAAGUCGUUCCUGCAUCCGCCACCCGUGGACGCGCUCGAUGGCUCUCAACUGAGUUUGUGUAUGUAUGUGAGUAUCAAAUAAUAUCACUUUUCUCAGAGAUGGUUGGACCGAUUUAAACAUUGUUAUACUCAAAUGAAAGGUGCAACAUAGCCAUAGGCUGCUAUUGAAUUUUAUUUGGAUCUGGUUCUGGAGUUAUGAGUUGGAAAGUGCGAUCGCACAUGAAAUUAUCUAAACCUUUGUGCUUUUUGCAUAUAAAGAAAUACUAUGCAAUCACUCCACAAAUCAACUUUUCAACUGAGACUCGGGGGCCGAAUGUCAUAAUCCAUUCGAUUCAGUUCGUCGAGAUCGGUCAAUGUCUGUGUGUGCAUGUGUGCACAUCUAGGGGGAAGUGGCCCAAUUCGGACCGCUGGCCAAUUCGGACCCCCAGCUGUUUCUCAGCUAUGGUAAUAUUAUGAAAAGCACAUAUAUCAUUGUCAUGGCUGUCAUGUAGCUCUGUUUUAUAUCACAAAAUUUUGCGGUUCUCAGUUUUCGUAUGCGUGCGCUGGGGGCGAAUGUUGUUUUGGAGCGCUUUUUUGAAAAAUGUGUAAGCCAAAAAACACAAUUUUCGUUGGCAACAACAAUAUAUCAAGUCAAAUGCAUUAUCGUGAUUUUGGAUCUACUGGAUAAUAUCUUUUAUUUAAUAUCUUGUUUUGGGCGAGACUAUCAACUGUUUUCGUUUAAUUGGUGUGUGAAUAAUAGAAUAUGGGAUGAGCUUGUCAAAUUCCAGCAAAAAUCCGCAUUGCCGUCGACGGGGGUACGAAUCGAUGGGUUGACUUUCUUAAGGAAAAUAUUGGCACAGAAGAACAGUUCGGUGACGGGGAAUUUCGAUUCCUGCACCGAUUAAUCUAUGACUUAAGGAAAGCGGUUGAAUUGCAAGGUAAGAACAUUACAAAUUAAAAAAAAAAAAUUCACUCGUUACUGAUGUCUAUUUAACAGAUAAUCAAAACACCCAAAUGCUACAGAUUUUACAAAAUCUCUCAAAGCGAUUUAGAGCACCAGUUACGAUAGCGAAAUAAGUCGAAUUCUGGUGUUGUGUGAAAGUUCUGGCCGGUUGUACCAAAUCAUGGCCAACAUUAAUACUUUGUCCCUGGCCCGUGACAUUCUACCGAAUGCAUUUGUAUUCUUGCGAUCCAGUAACUCUCAGUUGGCUGCUACCGGCGGGAACCCACUUAAUUCAAAUUUCCCCUCGGUUGGUACACGAACGUAUCUGGUGUUCGCUUGUUCCUAUUGGACAACGGGCCGUAUGUAGCACUAGUGGAUUGCACUGGAACCUCGACAACCGGGCUGUUUGGUAAGCACUUCGAACACUCACUCUAGCCAGGAAGUUCAAAUUCAAUCAGAGAGUGCCGUACUUUGGUUAAUGGGAACGACCCCGAAGGAUAUGUGAUAAGAGUAUUGCCUGCAACUGAAAAUACGCGUUCAUGUCAACGGGCUUUUAGGUGCCUAAUAAAAUUCCCUCAUCUCUCUGUAUGUUGCUUUAUUAGAUAUAAUACAAAUAUAUUGAUAUAGAAUGACAAUAUUUUAUUUUCUUAAAGUAAAAGUGUCAAUUUCUAGCUUUUUAGUAAUACUGUUCAGAGAAAUCGACCUCCGACAAUUAAUCGGCGAUCGUCUUCACAUCUAGACAUGUAAAAUGAUUUAAUUUUCGCGGGAAACCGGCACAGCAUUAUUGGUUCGUUUAUUUGCUCCGUCAUUUUUCGUUCCGGACCCUCCGGAAUAUCAUCGCCAAACUCAUAAAAAGUUCCAUCAUUCUUGGUGACGUUGUUCUCCUUUAGCCAGUCAAUAGCAUCGACAUAGUUCGGUGGCAUAAAAUUCGGGUUAAGAUGACCCCACGGAGAUUUCAAUACUCGAUCGACAACAUCUACUAUCAAAUCUUCCAGCCGAUCAAGUAGCUCUUUGAAAGUAAUAAAGAGACAUUCACCCUCAAUAUAACUGUAUUCUGCUAAAUCACGGCGAGCAAGACUCUGCUCUGCACGGUAACUUUGAGAAAUGCAAUAGUCGCCCAAUGCCGGCAAACAGGUUUCCAUAUAUUUUUGUGAGCUUUGCGUCAGGAAUGCUUCCGCCCUAAAAUGUAUUUAUUGUUUGAGCAAAUACUUUUAAUGCGAACAUUUUUUAUUUACCUAAAAUAGUCCAGUUUGAACAGAGUCGACCCUCCUUCAACUUGUGUUUGCACCAGCGUCGGCGGCGUUACCUCCGUGUAACCACGUUCAUGAUAAUGCUCCCUAAAUGCCAUCAUAAUGACAUCUCUCAUCUUGAGAAUCUUAGAAGUAUUUUCGCCUCUAAUCAUAAUGUGUCUGUUAUCGAGCUAGACAUCAGGAUAAGCAUCCUCGUUCAAAAUAGAAUCUGCCCCACCGGCCGGAGCUAAUCCAAUUAGCUACCAAUAAUCAACGUGCAGCUCAUGUCCACCGGGAGCGGACUUACCUUCUGGAACCUCUGACACAAGGUAUCGCUGAGAACGCUUUUCAAGAAUUUUCUUGAGCUGAGAUUUGGCUACUAGUUCGUAGGGUGAUUCCGAUUUUGCAUCCUUAGCGUUUACAUAAAUUCUUGGGAAAGGUUCCUUGCCGGCGUGCUUCAUGGCUUGUAGGAUUGUUUUGAAGGGUUUUUCCGCUGUUCCAUCACCGAACUCGUCAUCGACACGCUUUUCCAAGGUGUAGAGAUCGUCUAGAGGUGGUGAGAAAAAUUGGAUCAAUAUUCAAUUAUUAUUAUCCAUCACCGUUGGUUGAAUUUCAGCGGCCGUUCACUUUCCGGCAAGUGUAAUGGAUAAGAGUACUUACUGGCAACGUUUGUUGAGUGCCGAACAGGGGAUUGAUUUCCGUUUCAUCCUUGUUACUACGAGUAGGUUAUGCUUCUUUUACCAUCUCAGCAUAGAUAUCAGUUUCGGCUGCCAACGUCGGAUGGUAAUCUAACGAGAAGAGAUUAUAUUAAAUUCAAAAAAAUUUUAUCUUAAAGAAAGAAACCACCCAACUUACCACUAAGAAUUGAAACUUUUCAUAGCUAGCGUCAUACUGUUGAACUUCGCUGUCCAAGCAUUCCUGACAUUCUUCCGGGUGUUGCAUGUGCAUCUGCGCCCCCCGGAACGAACGGUCGGGGUGAAACGGAUAGUAGAUUCUUCGUAUACCACUAACCGUAUCGUGGGGGAUAAAACAUUCCUUCUUCAUAGCCUCCAACAGUUCUUAGUGCAUCAGGUGUAGGAUAAAUCGAUUCCAAUUUUGAAUUAGACUGAUCAGAUUGAUGUUAGCAAUGUUGCUUCGGUCCGAAGAAAGUAUUAACCCCAGGGCAGCUUCUUCCGGAAAGAGAAUUCCUUACAACAGCAGUGCGUAAUGGGUCGAAGUGACAGCUGCUAUCUAAACCAAGACUAUUGAAAACUAUAGGUAGGAUUAUUCAAGAUUAGCUAAAACUAGUCGAGAUUAUUUUGGGAAUAAAAAAGUUCACUAAUUUAUUUUAGUCCAACGUUUAGAGUGAUUUCCCCCUAGGGGUAUGGAUGUUUUUUUAUAACCGUUGGCUGAAUUUUCGUGAAAAAGUAUAUGUCGCCACGCGAUGGGAGUACAAUGUACGAUUAUUUCAAGUCAAUUUGAAUAGCUUUCAAUAAAUAUUUUCUUUGAUAUUUCACAGGUGCCAUUAGUAGCCUUGAGGACAACCAUAACAACUGGGUGACUAAACAGAACAGCGGGACAUUAUGAUUUAGAGCAACACACCACCGUUCUAUGAAUCGUUGGGGUUUGCACCAUGCGAUGUAGAAUAAUAUAGUCAAUGAGACAAAAUAACUAAUCGAAUGAUUCACUGCGUAUAGUUUUUCUCAUGUUCCCAAUCUUCUAUUGGCAGACAGCCGCUUUAAAUAAUCGGUGCAACGUCGUAACAUUAUUUAGUGGAUUCUUGGUGGAAAUGUGGUGCUUCCUGCCGAUGUUGGUGACUCGAAGGCAAACCGAAUAAAAGGGCUCCAGAUUGAAACAGUUAAACAUAUAGGGUAGAUGAUUUAAUUUUUCUCAAACAAUUAGGGUGCUACACUAUGUUCCGAUGAAUAUACUGGAAGAGGUAGAGAUUUUGUGCGAAGUAGGGAUACCAAUUUUUUAUCCCAUAAUUUGAACAGCAGACGAUGUGUUCGGUUAGGUACAAUAAAUAGAUAGGCUACGAUGAUAUAAAGAGAUGUAACCCUCUCAGUGGGAGGCACGAUUCUCGAGAGUCUAAGAUAGAAUAUUUAUGCAAUUUCACCCGAUCGAAGUGAAUUAUAACUCUUACAGAAACAUGGACAAAUAUAUUGCGAAUGAAUAAAUUAUGUUUCUAAAGUAAA